RNAcentral lists this ribosomal RNA (478 nucleotides) under uncultured bacterium. RNAcentral describes it as "partial 16S ribosomal RNA". It matches the Rfam family "Bacterial small subunit ribosomal RNA", at positions 28 to 523 of the family's 1533-position model. The record is from RNAcentral.
GACGAACGCUGGCGGCGUGCUUAACACAUGCAAGUCGAGCGAUGAAGUUCCUUCGGGAAUGGAUUAGCGGCGGACGGGUGAGUAACACGUGGGUAACCUGCCUCAUAGAGGGGAAUAGCCUUCCGAAAGGAAGAUUAAUACCGCAUAAGAUUGUAGUGCCGCAUGGCAUAGCAAUUAAAGGAGUAAUCCGCUAUGAGAUGGACCCGCGUCGCAUUAGCUAGUUGGUGAGGUAACGGCUCACCAAGGCGACGAUGCGUAGCCGACCUGAGAGGGUGAUCGGCCACAUUGGGACUGAGACACGGCCCAGACUCCUACGGGAGGCAGCAGUGGGGAAUAUUGCACAAUGGGGGAAACCCUGAUGCAGCAACGCCGCGUGAGUGAUGAAGGUCUUCGGAUUGUAAAGCUCUGUCUUCAGGGACGAUAAUGACGGUACCUGAGGAGGAAGCCACGGCUAACUACGUGCCAGCCGCCGCCGUAA